Molecule: ribosomal RNA, 370 nt
Filed under: uncultured bacterium
Lineage: Bacteria
Description: bacterial SSU rRNA
Rfam family: Bacterial small subunit ribosomal RNA
Source: RNAcentral
AGAGGGUGCGAGCGUUAAUCGGAAUUACUGGGCGUAAAGCGUGCGUAGACGGUUACGUAAGUCGGGUGUGAAAGCCCCGGGCUCAACCUGGGAAUUGCAUUCGAGACUGCGAAGCUAGGGUGCGGAAGAGGGAAGCGGAAUUUCCGGUGUAGCGGUGAAAUGCGUAGAUAUCGGAAGGAACAUCAGUGGCGAAAGCGGCUUCCUGGUCCAGCACCGACGUUCAGGCACGAAAGCGUGGGGAGCAAACAGGAUUAGAUACCCUGGUAGUCCACGCCAUAAACGAUGACAACUAGACGUUGAGAGGGUAAGCCUCCCAGUGUCGAAGCUAACGCGAUAAGUUGUCCGCCUGGGGAGUACGGCCGCAAGGUUG